GAUGAACGCUAGCUACAGGCUUAACGCAUGCAAGUCGAGGGGCAGCGGUAUCGAAAGCUUGCUUUCGGUAGCCGGCGACCGGCGCACGGGUGAGUAACGCGUAUCGAACCUGCCUCAUACUCGGGAAUAGCCUUGCGAAAGUAAGAUUAAUGCCCGGUGUUUUCAGAGUCCCGCAUGAGGCUUUGAACAAAGAUUUAUCGGUAGGAGAUGGCGAUGCGUCCCAUUAGCUUGUUGGCGGGGUAACGGCCCACCAAGGCAUCGAUGGGUAGGGGUUCUGAGAGGAAGGUCCCCCACAUUGGAACUGAGACACGGUCCAAACUCCUACGGGAGGCAGCAGUGAGGAAUAUUGGUCAAUGGGCGGAAGCCUGAACCAGCCAAGUAGCGUGCAGGAAGACGGCCCUCCGGGUUGUAAACUGCUUUUAGUUGGAAUAAAACGGGGCUCGUGAGCCCCCCUGCAUGUACCAUCAGAAAAAGGACCGGCUAAUUCCGUGCCAGCCGCCGCCGUAA
This 507-nucleotide ribosomal RNA is filed under the name uncultured bacterium. RNAcentral describes it as "partial 16S ribosomal RNA". It matches the Rfam family "Bacterial small subunit ribosomal RNA", at positions 28 to 523 of the family's 1533-position model. The record is from RNAcentral.